CUUCCACAUACAGUCAUGGUUCACGGAACCAAAUUUCCCCCCCUGAAUAAGUAAAUACCCAAUGACAAUAUAAAUAUAAAAUGACGAUCUGAACACUCUUAUAAGAUCUGAGACACGUCUCAGGUCUGACGGGAUCUGUAAGAUGGUGCGAGUGUCCAUCUGAUGAGUUUUAGUGUAUUAAUGAGGAAUCAAACACACCUGAUGUCUCUGGGUCGCGUCCCAUUUUGCCAGGGUUUUCUAAUCUUACUCCUGGCCUUGUUCACGCCAAGGUUAUUAAUGACAGGACUGUUUUAAUACACGUCUGAGAGAGCCUUGAAAGUUAAAGUAGCGGGAGAAAUUCAGGUCUGCUCCUGACUUCUACUUUCUAGUUAAUCUAAAUGUCCUCAUAUUACAAUAUUAUUAAAAAGAAAUACAUUAACCUGCUGGUGCAACUGAACGGGGGGGGGGGGGGUCGCAGUCAUGGCCACGUUUGAUUCUCUCGUUCCGUCGCGUUACAGAGUCAUGGCCGCGUUUGAUUCUCUCGUUCCGUCGCGUUACAGAGUCAUGGCCGCGUUUGAUUCUCUCGUUCCGUCGCAUUAGAGUCAUGGCCACGUUUAAUUCUCUCGUUUUCUCAUGUAAUGUCCACGUGUAAUCAUCGUGUUAUUGAUUCACGGCUUCACUUAAUUAUCUUGUUCCCACAUGUUAUUCCUUUUGGCUACACGUGCAUAAUUAUCCCAUUUGCUUGCAUUACUAAGCAGUGUCCACAUUUAAUUACAGCUCGUUCUCAUGCGUUAAGUUGUGGUUACACUUACGUAGAUCAUCUCGUUCCCCCGUGUUAUUAAGUCAUGAUUCCUGUUCACACUUCUUUACUAAGUCAUGGCCAUGCAUUAGUUUUUAUUAAAGUAGGGAUGUUACCUGUAGGGGUCUGUAGAAAUAAGACUCGGGGACAGACUGUAAUUGUUUGUUUUUUUUGACUAUACCGUAACAGAAUUUACAUUUUGAAAAUUUAAACAUGAAAUGUUACAGGAGACCACCCAAUUGUAUGCCAAGUCUAUACAGACAGGACACGUCCUAAAAUCCCCAAACUAUAUGUCUAUAUGUCUAAACUGGGCAUGGAGGAAUAAUUCAGUUAUACAGUAGAUUGCAGUAUGUUGAGCACACACACACACUGCACUGUAUCAUGGAUGUUUAAAAGUAACGUCACGUCCUCUGGCAUUUCAUUUAUCUGCAUUUAGCGCGCUGCCUGGCUCGAGAGCACCCUAGAUCCAGCCAGUUACAUCCUGCAGCAUAAUGACAGCAGUCUUCUACUGUUUUUCAUCUGAUUGAUUAAUGAAUUCAUUAUUUUCCAACGCUAAACAGGGACGAAGUGAGCAUGCAGGGCGGACAGCGGUUUGGGACGAGGCCACAGAGGCGGCGUAUCUGCACCAUCGGCGAGAUGAAAUGAACUUUAGCAGGAAAUCGAUCUUAAAGUGAACUGAACGGUUCAUGACCUCGAUCAUACGCACAAAAAGACUACAACUACAAAAAAAAAAUAAUAAUAAUAAUUAAAAAAAUAAUAAUAAUAAUAAUACUACAUUGCAAAUUCAUACAAACGACAGGAGACUGGGCUGUGUCCCAAUCUAACACAGUGCAUCCUAAAUCAAACCCAUGACACUGAUAUACACACUGAUACAUACACAGUAGUGCACUUGUGUAAAAUAUCAAGUAUGAUCAUGCAUAAAAAUGUUUACGAUAAAGAAACACAAAAAGAGCUUAUCUGUUAGAUCUUGUUUUUGCUGUGUGUUUCUCUUUCAAGGUGUCCAGUAUAUACAGGAGCAACCCCACACACACACACACACACACACACACACAAUCUCUCUCAUGUGGAAGACCAUUUACAUUCUUAAAUGCUUACAAAAAUGCUACACUUUUCACACUGUAGAUGUGAUGGUGUGCCGCGAGAAAUGAAAUCAUUCUAAUGUUAAUGUCACCAUGUGUCUAAGACCGAGUACGAUGUACGCUGCCAGUCAAAUGGGUUUUUUUUUUUAAAACAUGUGAAGGUUUGGCUAUUGGCUAUUGGCUAUUAAAUAAGAGAGAUGUAGUUUCCUUUUGUAUUUAAAUCUGUCUUUAAGGACUGUCAUUGUCCACGCUCAGACAAGUUGAGAUUUGUCUCCGUUGAACAGUGGACUAGUUCAACACACAGACUUCAUGUACGAACCGUAAUGAACUUUCUUUUACUUUCACGCUCUCCGUCGUUACCCAGAUGAGGACGGGUUCCCUUCCGAGUCUGGUUCCUCUCAAGGUUUCUUCCUCUUAACAUCUUAGGGAAUUUUUCCUCACCACCGUCUCGCUCAAUAAGGAUAAAUUCACACACUUUAAAUCUCUAUCCUGUGUUGAUAUGUUUCUGUAAAGCUGCUAUACAAAUCAAAUUGAACUGAAAUGAAGUCUUACGGCUGAUAUUAGACAGUAUCGAACCAUAGGACUGUCGGAAUCGUGUCCGCUCUCCGGUCCCGUGGCUGCGGCCCUAAUCGACCGUAACGCGAACGUGUCUUGUGCUAUGAGCGUCUCCGGAUCAGCCUUUUCCGGAUAAAUCUAGAUUUCGUUUCCGAAUAAGAAAAUAAAAGGUCACAUUUCUUACUUAGGUUUUCUGAUUGUAUGCUACGUUUAACUAAAAAUGUUAAUACAGGGUGCUCAAAAACGUUUAACUGGCAGUGUGACGUAUGUGGAACAUUUCUCACCAACCCUAUUCCCAGCAUGUUUUAGAGCAGAGCUGUGAAACGUCCGAGCUUGUCUCUUUUAUUCCACUAGGGGGCAAAAUAGAGCAAUAAACACAGGGCUGUGUAAUAAUGUUUCAUUAGCAUAAAAACAAAGCCCUGACUCUGUAACCAUGAGUGCGUCUCAAUCAGCUCCCUGGGUGGUGAAUCAGUACAUCGUGUACACGGGUUCGAGCGGCAGUAAGGACACGGUCUCACUGCACAUCGUUACACCGAUGACUCGCCGAUUUCCGGGGACGUGACUACAUCCUCGCGUUGUAAACCGUCAGCACUUCCUGACAUUAUACAUCAUAUAAAUGUUAGCUUAAAAUCACACGCGAUUCUCUCAUGCUGCAUCGCUAACUGUAAUCGUAAAGAGCUGGGAUUCCCAUCCCUGCUUGAAAUGUUCCCUAAAUGAUUCAAGGAAACUUGUGAAAUGGUUUCCCACGUCCUGGUUAAGGUCACAGGGUCACCCGAGGUCACCUGUAAUCACCUUCGGAUAGACCGAACAUCCGUCUUUAUAAUGAAAUGAACAAACACUGUAUGUAUUCAUUUUCUAUUACAGCAGCUCUGACAGUAGUUCCCACUGUAAGCCAGGCUCACGUGUACGGCGACAAAGUGACCAGAGACCUUUCGUUUUCUACUAGCGACUUCCGGUGACCGUAGGCGACUAGAUGUGGGCGUGUCCAGUGACGCGACAAAGUGGAGAAAAGUUU
This is a long non-coding RNA of Ictalurus punctatus (channel catfish), 3427 nucleotides long. The record is from Ensembl. Lineage: Eukaryota; Metazoa; Chordata; Actinopteri; Siluriformes; Ictaluridae.